RNAcentral lists this ribozyme (88 nucleotides) under unclassified sequences. Its description in RNAcentral is "HDV ribozyme from F. prausnitzii". It matches the Rfam family "HDV ribozyme from F. prausnitzii". The record is from RNAcentral.
GCUGCUCGAAACUUUGCACACCUCUUCGUGGUGAGCAGCAGGCAACGAUCUAAGAAUCAGGGAUUCGGUGAUCGGCUGAGAUGUGAAG